RNAcentral lists this long non-coding RNA (1575 nucleotides) under Vulpes vulpes (red fox). Its description in RNAcentral is "lncRNA (ENSVVUG00000013055.1)". The record is from RNAcentral. Lineage: Eukaryota; Metazoa; Chordata; Mammalia; Carnivora; Canidae.
CUCAUGACUGGCUUGAUAGCUAUUGUAAUUUCAAAGCAGUGACGAGCAUAAAUGAUAUUUUGAGAUACCUGUAACCAUGGCAACACGAUACAGAAAUGCCUGUGAUUUCUAUUCGUGACAAAGUCACGGCAUUUCUUUUUUUUUUCUGUAUUCUGUAUAGAAUAGAAUUCUUUCCCUGACCAAGUGCACAGACCUCUUGAUUCUGUUCAGGCCUCUUGUGGGCUCCACUUUAGAAACCCCUGCACUUGGGCGGCUGUUUGUGGCACCAAGAGGGAGACAAAUUCCACAAAGGUCAAAAGAAAAGAAAAAGACUGAAAUGAUCAUAGGUUUGGAGAUGGGCACAAGAAGUGGAGGCGAAAAGUAAUGUGAGAGGUUGCCAGGAUGUGGAUAAAUUGAAUAAAAAGGGACAAUUUUUUGUCACUGCCUCUGCUGACAGGCGAGUAGGGACAAGUAUAGACCAUCCAGGAUACAGCCCGCCAGGAACAUGAAUUUGCAACGUGGCUCCGAAUGCGGACUCUGAAGUCUGACACACCUGGGUCUCCAUCCUAGCCCUGCCAUUUACCAGUGUGUGCUCUGCGCAUUCAUUCACUGCUCUCUGACUCCGUUUAUCUUAUUUAGCAGGAGUAAUAAGACCAUCACACGAAAUUGCUUUGAGGAUUAAAUGAGACGAUGUGUGUAAAAAGCUUGGUGCAGUGUCUGGGAUAUUUUUACUCGCCCUCCACCAAUAGUUCUAGCAAGAGUAUUGUGGUUUCUAUGGAGACCCACUUCCCAGAAGUAAACAAGGCUCCUUGCAGGUCACUAAGCGUCACUGAAACAUUGGGGUUGACUCACAUGUGGCCAGCAGAAGGCAGCAAACACCACACUAUAGCUGAAGAGGACAAGAGAAGGCAGUGGUGGAUGUGGAUGGAGAGACAGGUCAUCCCAGGAGCCAACAGGGUGUGUACUGGCUGUGCCCAACCGAGAAGCAUCCAACCUGGGACAUCCCGCUCUGCCCUCUUUCCUUCCACAAUGAGGUAAUAAUUGCCUUAUGCUAUUCUGUCCUGAAUAAUCUGGAAGGCUUUUGAACUAGUCACCUGUGAACAUAUAUAGAGAAAUCACCCCUAUUUUAUAGUGGUGGAGAGUCGGCAAUUGGUGUCACGAUCUAUCUCCCCAUCCUUUUGCAAUCCUUCUCUGAAACAUCCCAGAAAUGAGGUGUGAUUCAGUAGGAUGCCAGAACACUGGGCGCAAAAGAGGCAAGUCAAAGCAAGUAUUCGUUAAACUGUUUUUAAGGGGAGGUUCUUCCCUCCUCCGAGCCACUGAUUAACCUCAGAAUCAUUCGUGGAUCUGUAUCUUGAGGUUGGAGUGAUCUCCUUUCCUGUGCCCCUUAGACGCCCAACUAGAACAUGGAACUAGGGGCAGCCCCGGUGGCGCAGCGGUUUGGCUCCUGGAGACUCGGGAUAGAGUCCCACGUCAGGCUCCCAUGCAUGGAGCCUGCUUCUCCCUCUGCCUGUGUCUCUGCCUCUCUCUCUCUCUCUCUCUCUCUCUUUCUCUGUCUCUAUGAAUAAAUAAAUAAGAUCUUAAAAAAAAAAAAAGAAC